UUCAGCAAAUAUCUGUUCAAUAUAAGACUUCAGACUGGCACCUAGAUGUUCAAAGCCUAAUUCUUAGCUUCUAAUGAAUUCCAUCUCUAAAGUGAUGAGACCCAGCAGAACGCAUCACUGCCCUUUUGGAGCCCCUACAAUUGGCACAACAAGGGCGAACAAUGGGAACGAUCUGUCACCUGUGCAGGAAGUCAGCGAGCAUACAACAGACGGAUUAAAUGGAUAA
RNAcentral lists this long non-coding RNA (226 nucleotides) under Callithrix jacchus (white-tufted-ear marmoset). RNAcentral's name for it is "lncRNA (ENSCJAG00000070194.1)". Lineage: Eukaryota; Metazoa; Chordata; Mammalia; Primates; Cebidae. The record is from RNAcentral.